UACGGAGGGGGCUAGCGUUGUUCGGAAUUACUGGGCGUAAAGCGCGCGUAGGCGGACCUGCAAGUCGGGGGUGAAAGCCCGAGGCUCAACCUCGGAACUGCCUUCGAUACUGCGGGUCUCGAGUCCGGGAGAGGUGAGUGGAAUUCCUAGUGUAGAGGUGAAAUUCGUAGAUAUUAGGAAGAACACCAGUGGCGAAGGCGGCUCACUGGCCCGGUACUGAAGCUGAGGCGCGAAAGCGUGGGGAGCAAACAGG
This 253-nucleotide ribosomal RNA is filed under the name uncultured bacterium. RNAcentral describes it as "partial 16S ribosomal RNA". It matches the Rfam family "Bacterial small subunit ribosomal RNA", at positions 524 to 776 of the family's 1533-position model. The record is from RNAcentral.